UACGGGGGGGGCAAGUGUUGUUCGGAAUUACUGGGCGUAAAGGGCUCGUAGGCGGCCAACUAAGUCGGAUGUGAAAUCCCCAGGCUUAACCUGGGAACUGCAUCCGAUACUGGAUGGCUUGAAUCCGGGAGAGGGAUGCAGAAUUCCAGGUGUAGCGGUGAAAUGCGUAGAUAUCUGGAGGAAUACCGGUGGCGAAGGCGGCAUCCUGGACCGGCAUUGACGCUGAUGAGCGAAAGCUAGGGGAGCAAACGGG
RNAcentral lists this ribosomal RNA (253 nucleotides) under uncultured bacterium. Its description in RNAcentral is "partial 16S ribosomal RNA". It matches the Rfam family "Bacterial small subunit ribosomal RNA", at positions 524 to 776 of the family's 1533-position model. The record is from RNAcentral.